CAGUCGCCACGGUAAUACGUAGGUGGCGAGCGUUGUCCGGAAUUAUUGGGCGUAAAGGGAGCGCAGGCGGGCGAGUAAGUCUUUCUUAAAAGUGCGGGGCUCAACCCCGUGAGGGGAGAGAAACUACUCAUCUUGAGUGCAGGAGAGGAAAGCGGAAUUCCUAGUGUAGCGGUGAAAUGCGUAGAUAUUAGGAAGAACACCAGUGGCGAAGGCGGCUUUCUGGACUGUAACUGACGCUGAGGCUCGAAAGCCAGGGGAGCGAACGGGAUUAGAUACCCCAGUAGUCCCUGUCUCUUAUACC
RNAcentral lists this ribosomal RNA (301 nucleotides) under uncultured bacterium. Its description in RNAcentral is "partial 16S ribosomal RNA". It matches the Rfam family "Bacterial small subunit ribosomal RNA", at positions 509 to 808 of the family's 1533-position model. The record is from RNAcentral.